UAAUGCUGCAAUGUAAACAUUGCAGUUUUUCUGGAACUGCAAUGUUUUACAUUGCAGCACUA
RNAcentral lists this microRNA precursor (62 nucleotides) under Pelobates cultripes (western spadefoot toad). Lineage: Eukaryota; Metazoa; Chordata; Amphibia; Anura; Pelobatidae. The record is from RNAcentral.